RNAcentral lists this ribosomal RNA (257 nucleotides) under uncultured bacterium. RNAcentral describes it as "partial 16S ribosomal RNA". It matches the Rfam family "Bacterial small subunit ribosomal RNA", at positions 524 to 776 of the family's 1533-position model. The record is from RNAcentral.
UACAGAGACCUCAAGCGUUAUCCGGAAUCAUUGGGCGUAAAGCGUACCGAUAGGUGGUUUUGCAAGUCAGGAGUGAAAUCUCAAGGCUCAACUUUGAGACUGUCUCUUGAAACUGCACAACUAGAGGGGCAAAGAGGAAGCUGGAACGAACGGUGUAGUAGUGAAAUGCGUUGAUAUCGUUCGGAACACCGAUAGCGAAGGCAGGCUUCUGGGUGCCACCUGACACUGCUAGGACGAAAGCGUGGGGAGCGAAUGGG